AUUUUUAUUUGAGGACCAGGUUUUGGUUUGGGUAGUGGUCCUACGAUGACUGUGAACUGUCAUGUCUUCGGAUGUGCGACUAUCGGUCUAGGAUCGCAUCUCAGCCCCUGGGACUCUUUUGAACGCAACGGACGUGAUUGCAACCCCUUGUUGAGAUUAGAGGAGUCUCGAUAUUCAUUGGCCAAACUUACCGCUUCGAGCUUGCUCGUGCAGUUUUGUUAGCCGGUGGAUAAACUCGGGGGACUGCUGACUAUAACCAUUUCUCAAAACAGAGGAAGGUUGCGGCAAUAACAGGUCUGUGAUGCCCUCAGAUGU
Molecule: ribosomal RNA, 315 nt
Filed under: Globigerinoides ruber ruber
Lineage: Eukaryota; Foraminifera; Rotaliida; Globigerinidae
Description: partial small subunit ribosomal RNA
Source: RNAcentral